Arvicola amphibius (Eurasian water vole) is the source of this 2055-nucleotide long non-coding RNA. RefSeq lists it as uncharacterized. The record is from RefSeq and is a predicted model, not a curated record. Lineage: Eukaryota; Metazoa; Chordata; Mammalia; Rodentia; Cricetidae. The transcript has 6 exons.
UAUGCCUGUCAUAACCCUCAGUGUCAGAGGGGAAAGCGAGGAUUGCAGCCAGAAGGGAAAGUCACUAAGGGAAGUGGGGAAGAGAUUCUGGAAUUCACUCUCUGGACUCUGGGCAGAGGAAGGAUCAGGGCUCACUUUUUCCCUCUGGCUCCAAGGGUUGCAGCCUCAGAGGAAGCAUUAGAAAGGCCAAGAAGCUGGAGCAGUGGCUGAGCCAGGCUAGCUAAUUCCCCAUGAGGGGACCGCGACUUGUAUCUAUCCCAGUUCCAUCUCAGUGUUGAGAUUAUCCGGGGGUGGUAGGCAGUCAGUGCUGGGAGGUGUCUCAGUCAUCCUGUGACCAGCGACUUAUGGAGGGGUCGUUGUUCUAAUGCUGAGUUACUGUCUUUUCUGCUGUCCCGGUGUUUCACUUCAAAAGGGGUAGAGCAGAGUAAGAAGUCCGAGGUCUUGGGACUUAGAGCAGGUCUCUGAUCCAGGUGACGGGGUACAGACAUGGAUUCCGUUCUAAGGACACGUGUGUCCAGUGACGUCAGUGGAUUUCAGGGUCAGUACUUGAGGUCAUAUGACUUGGUUUUGACCGUCCUCAGUUGUGACUUUGGACAACACAGGAAAAGUCUCUAUCUUUGUUUUUCCUGCCUCAGACUCGGGAGUGUAAUGUUGCCUACUUUUUAGGUUGUGAGAAGUAAAUGAGCUACUUCCUGCCAAAGACUGUGAAGAGGUGAAACACCCUGCUCACAAGCUCUGCUGCCUUGGAGCCGUCUGCUUCCGAGGGAAGAAAGAUGUUUCAAGUCUCCUUGAAGAAAUGUCCUCAGGGAGUCAAAUCAAGGACCCUUCAAGAGUUGGGUGCAAUCAGGUCAACAGGUCUCCUUGCUCCCUCAUGUUCUACCACAAGAAGAGGGCUAGAAAGCUAGGCAUUUUAAGGAGUUCCACUCUUGUUUUGGAAAUAUCAGCCUUAAAUUCUGAAAGGCAGGGCUGGAUUGUCCACGGGGCAUCCGCAGUGCUGGAACUCUUGCUCAGUCUCCCUAAGCACAGAGGGAGGUCUGACAGGUAUACCCAUGAUGGCCAUAACUCCUAGCAAAUGUGUGAUCACUGAAUCAGCCUUUUCCAAACCUGAAGCAGUUGCCCAUUGAAAACCCGAGUAGGUAUCAAUGGUGUAGUGCACAGAUUUUAGUUUUCCAAAUUCUACAAAGUGGAACACAUUCAUCUGCCACAUUUCAUUCUCUUGGCUACACUUCUUCUCAGUCUUCCCCUUUGUGGUUGAGGACACAAAAGGAAAAAUGCCACAGAGCACCAGCUUCUGAAGCACCCACCCUGAGGCAGAGGCAUUCAGCACCCAGGAAGAACUGACAAUGGUCACUGCCGCAGCUGGGAGGAAAGCAUGCGCAGUGAGCUCCGACUGCCAGGAUCAAAGUGAAUCGGUGCACAAGGACCUAACGACACAACGGCAACCCAAGCAGCCCAUCAUACGAUGUCACUGCUGCAGACGUGACGCGUUCCUGCUCCCCAACACCUUCUCAUCAGGGAACUAACCUCAGGAUGUGCUCUGCAUUUUCCUAAGGCUUUCCCAUAGAUGAUAUUAGGACUGGAUGAAGAAAACAGUUCUUUGAAAACUGUAUAUAACAAGCCACCUGAAAAAGCAGAGAGAAAGAUGAAGCACAGCCAUGGGGUGAGAGGCUGGGGAAAGGUAUCCAGGCACUUGCUGGGCUUUGCGACCUGUAAUGCUGACGCCGAAGAACACCACUAUCAAGUAGCUGAAGUCUCUUCCGGCUUCUUUCACUGCAAAGAAAAAUGUUGAAAGGUUACAGUGGCAUAAAACCCUAUCAGUCUCCAGAGUGAGAACGGCCACAGAUGCAGCAACAUGGACAGAGGUCUGCCCUGUCCGGAUCAAGGUUCAAUCAACCCGAAGACAAGGGAACAGAGGGAUCCAAAUGGAAGCAACUCUUAAUGGUACCACCUCACAGGUCCCCACCGACUGGUGCAUGAAGUUAGUGAACGGAAAUUGGAAUUGGAAGGUAGUUGGCCAGGAUGGUCUAUGAAUCAAAUAAACCUACAGAGACUGUU